This 504-nucleotide ribosomal RNA is filed under the name uncultured bacterium. Its description in RNAcentral is "bacterial SSU rRNA". It matches the Rfam family "Bacterial small subunit ribosomal RNA", at positions 8 to 518 of the family's 1533-position model. The record is from RNAcentral.
AGAGUUUGAUUAUGGCUCAGGAUGAACGCUGGCGGCGUGCUUAACACAUGCAAGUCGAACGGGCUUAGAUCGGAAGCUUGCUUUGAUUAAGUUAGUGGCGGACGGGUGAGUAACGCGUGGGUAACCUACCCUGUGCAGGGGGAUAGCAGCUGGAAACGGCUAGAUAAAACCGCGAUAACACGGCGAUGCCGCAUGGCAAUGCCGUCAAAUAUUUAUAGGCACAGGAUGGGCCCGCGUCUGAUUAGCUAGUUGCGGGGCAACGGCCCACCAAGGCGACGAUCAGUAGCCGGCCUGAGAGGGUGAACGGCCACAUUGGGACUGAGACACGGCCCAAACUCCUACGGGAGGCAGCAGUGGGGAAUAUUGGACAAUGGGGGAAACCCUGAUCCAGCGAACGCCGCGUGAGCGAAGAAGUAUUUCGGUUAUGUAAAGACUCUAUCAGCAGGGAAGUAUGAUGACGGUACCUGACUAAGAAGCACCGGCUAAAUACGUGCCAGCCGCAGC